AUUUUAAUAAUUAAACUCUUUAAAGUUUUUACAUUGAAGAUGUAAAUUUAAUUGGAGUA
This 59-nucleotide transfer RNA is filed under the name Tetranychus pueraricola. RNAcentral's name for it is "tRNA-Phe". The record is from RNAcentral. Lineage: Eukaryota; Metazoa; Arthropoda; Arachnida; Trombidiformes; Tetranychidae.